AAUAAAGUGCCUGAUAAAAGGAUUAUUUUGAUGGAAUAAAUUAUGUAAUUAUUACAUUACCUUUAUUA
Molecule: transfer RNA, 68 nt
Filed under: Sericostoma personatum
Lineage: Eukaryota; Metazoa; Arthropoda; Insecta; Trichoptera; Sericostomatidae
Description: tRNA-Ile
Source: RNAcentral